This is a long non-coding RNA of Lutra lutra (Eurasian river otter), 984 nucleotides long. RefSeq lists it as uncharacterized. The transcript has 3 exons. The record is from RefSeq and is a predicted model, not a curated record. Lineage: Eukaryota; Metazoa; Chordata; Mammalia; Carnivora; Mustelidae.
UCUGUUGCCCCUUCUUUUUGGCUGGAUUCUCCCCCUCAGUCCUCACUCAGUGUCAUACCUUGACACCUUGUUGGUGCUGGGCUGUGUCUCUUCUGCUGACCCAAAGUCAAAUCCAUCAGCAGGAGCACACCUAUGCCUUGGCCCUGAGGAGCACGCUAACUAUUAGCAGCAAAGAAGCCAUCUUGUUUCGUCCAUCAAAGUUCCAAGAUUCAUUGGUUAUACACCAUACCCUGUACCUUUAGAGGGCUUCUUAAAACACUGAUGGCUGGGCCCCACUGCCAGAGUUCCUGAUAUGGAAGGUCUGAAUUGUGGCCUAAAUUUACAUUUCUAAUAGAUUCCAUGCUGAUGCUGAAGUUGCUCCCCCUGAGAUCACACUUCUAGAACAGAGCUCCGGAAAAUAGCCAUGUUCCUGCCUGUGUUCUCAAAGUUGAAUGUGCAUGUGAAUCUCCCGCUUAUCUUAUUAAAAUGUAUAUAAAACACAUGGGGACCCUGUGAAAAUCCAGCUUCUUAGUAAACCUGGUGAUGCCAAUUUCUCUGCUCUGGGGAACACACUCUGAGAAACAAAGAACUACAAUCUCUUAGUAUGAAUCCAUUUAUCAUACUAUUCCUUUCUUCAUGAGAAAAACUGGAUAGAGCUUGAAAGCACUGGGUUGGGGAAGGACUGUGAGGGAGAGGAGAACAAAAAAUUGAAGCUGGGGUGAAGCUCAGAAAGCAGGUGUCACGCUAAAGGCAAAAUAACCAACUUCACAAUUGGUCAUUCUGUCACUUUUUCUCCCAGGUAGUAUGAAAUGUAGACUUUUUAAUGGUUUAUAUCACAUUUAUCUAACUUUGAAAUUAAGUGUUCAGAGCCCAGUAGAUUUGAAAUAAAACAUUUUUACCUAUAUUCUCUGAAUGGGUUCUUGAUUUCUAAAAUUUCAAAAGGAAACAAUGGAAACUAGAGAAUUACUCCUUCUUUUUACAAAACGCUCAGUUACCUGUCUGUGU